GCUGCGACCCCUCGUGGGACGCUCUCCUUAAAUGUAUUGGUGCGGCCCGCCGCCCGGUUACACAACGUUCUAGGUUCGUCCAACUCGUUGCUCAGCCGGUGCAAUCUUGGUGCUGCACCUAAAGCCCGCCUUGUGCCUUGUGCUCUUGGCUAACUUCAUUUAUUGACCUCAGAUCAGGUAGGAAUACGCGCUGAACUUAA
This 200-nucleotide unclassified non-coding RNA is filed under the name soil metagenome. Its description in RNAcentral is "partial contains internal transcribed spacer 2 and large subunit ribosomal RNA". The record is from RNAcentral.